AUUGAACGCUGGCGGCAUGCCUUACACAUGCAAGUCGAACGGCAGCACGGGUGCUUGCACCUGGUGGCGAGUGGCGAACGGGUGAGUAAUACAUCGGAACGUACCUUAUCGUGGGGGAUAACGCAGCGAAAGUUGCGCUAAUACCGCAUACGCCCUGAGGGGGAAAGCGGGGGACCGUAAGGCCUCGCGCGAUUAGAGCGGCCGAUGUCUGAUUAGCUUGUUGGUGAGGUAAAAGCUCACCAAGGCGAUGAUCAGUAGCUGGUCUGAGAGGACGAUCAGCCACACUGGGACUGAGACACGGCCCAGACUCCUACGGGAGGCAGCAGUGGGGAAUUUUGGACAAUGGGGGCAACCCUGAGCCAGCAAUGCCGCGUGAGUGAAGAAGGCCUUCGGGUUGUAAAGCUCUUUUGUCAGGGAAGAAACAGCAGCUCUAACACAGUCUGCGAAUGACGGUACCUGAAGAAUAAGCACCGGCUAACUACGUG
This 485-nucleotide ribosomal RNA is filed under the name uncultured bacterium. RNAcentral's name for it is "partial 16S ribosomal RNA". It matches the Rfam family "Bacterial small subunit ribosomal RNA", at positions 30 to 507 of the family's 1533-position model. The record is from RNAcentral.